GACGAACGCUGGCGGCGUGCUUAACACAUGCAAGUCGAACGGAAAGGCCCUUCUUUUGUGGGGUGCUCGAGUGGCGAACGGGUGAGUAACACGGGAGUAACCUGCCCUUGACUUUGGGAUAACUUCAGGAAACUGGGGCUAAUACCGGAUAGGAGCUCCUGCUGCAUGGCGGGGGUUGGAAAGUUUCGGCGGGUUGGGAUGGACUCGCGGCUUAUCAGCUUGUUGGUGGGGUAGUGGCUUACCAAGGCAUUGACGGGUAGCCGGCCUGAGCGGGUGACCGGCCACGUUGGGACUGAGAUACGGCCCAGACUCCUACGGGAGGCAGCAGUGGGGAAUAUUGCACAAUGGGCGGAAGCCUGAUGCAGCAACGCCGCGUGCGGGAUAACGGCCUUCGGGUUGUAAACCGCUUUCGCCUGUGACGAAGAGUGAGUGACGGUAAUGGGUUAAGAAGCACCGGCUAACUACGUG
Molecule: ribosomal RNA, 468 nt
Filed under: uncultured bacterium
Lineage: Bacteria
Description: partial 16S ribosomal RNA
Rfam family: Bacterial small subunit ribosomal RNA
Source: RNAcentral